GACGAACGCUGGCGGCGUGCUUAACACAUGCAAGUCGAACGGAAAGGCCCUGCUUUUGUGGGGUGCUCGAGUGGCGAACGGGUGAGUAACACGUGAGUAACCUGCCCUUGACUUUGGGAUAACUUCAGGAAACUGGGGCUAAUACCGGAUAGGAGCUCCUGCUGCAUGGUGGGGGUUGGAAAGUUUCGGCGGUUGGGGAUGGACUCGCGGCUUAUCAGCUUGUUGGUGGGGUAGUGGCUUACCAAGGCUUUGACGGGUAGCCGGCCUGAGAGGGUGACCGGGGGGGGGGGGGGGGAGGGGGGGGGGGGAGGGGGAGGGGGGGGGGCAGUGGGGAAUAUUGCACAAUGGGCGGAAGCCUGAUGCAGCAACGCCGCGUGCGGGAUGACGGCCUUCGGGUUGUAAACCGCUUUCGCCUGUGACGAAGCGUGAGUGACGGUAAUGGGUAAAGAAGCACCGGCUAACUACGUG
RNAcentral lists this ribosomal RNA (468 nucleotides) under uncultured bacterium. RNAcentral's name for it is "partial 16S ribosomal RNA". It matches the Rfam family "Bacterial small subunit ribosomal RNA", at positions 28 to 507 of the family's 1533-position model. The record is from RNAcentral.